Molecule: long non-coding RNA, 333 nt
Filed under: Anser cygnoides (Swan goose)
Lineage: Eukaryota; Metazoa; Chordata; Aves; Anseriformes; Anatidae
Description: lncRNA (ENSACDG00005015466.1)
Source: RNAcentral
AUGGCCCUGGUUUUCCUUCAAGCUCCUCCCUCUUCAGAAGAGCUAACAAGUUGGAGGAGCUGCUGUGAGCAGUCACCCAGCAGGAAAUCUCUUCAACAAGAGUCUGCAAAGGUGGACAGCAGGGCAUGUCUUGUGGCAGAGAACAGGACUGCCCUAGAAGCAGCUUGGAGGACCGCUUUUCCCACCUCAACCCGAAACAGUUUAUUCAACUCCAGUUGCUUCUGGAGCCCAGCCCUCAUCUGGGAUGAGCAGAUCCUGAAGAUCCUGGAGCACAGAAAUCUUCCCUACUGCAAGGGCCUGCCAGAGAGGAUUUGGAUUAGCUCAGAGCAGUGA